Syzygium oleosum is the source of this 899-nucleotide long non-coding RNA. RefSeq lists it as uncharacterized. The transcript has 3 exons. The record is from RefSeq and is a predicted model, not a curated record. Lineage: Eukaryota; Viridiplantae; Streptophyta; Magnoliopsida; Myrtales; Myrtaceae.
CGUCUCUUUUGUCUUCAAGCUUCCGCUCACCCCUUGCGAAGCGCAGCGCAUGUGGUCCAUAUGCCGUCAGCUCUAACGAGUAUGAGGGGGAAGAUCUAUCUUCAAUCGAGGAACUCCCGGAUGAAUGCCUCUUUGAGAUCUUUAGACGGCUUCCUAGCUGUAGAGAAAGGAGCUUCUGUGCCUGUGUUAAGAUCUUCGAGCUGUUGAGCCUUGGUGCGAGGUUUGUACUGGACUUCAAUCCCGUCUUCAGGAAUACAAAUCGGAAAACCAACAGCUCGAGGAACUUCUUACUUCGGAGAGAGAGCUCAGUAAAUCAUAUGAGGCUCACAUAAAGCAGCUCCAGCAAGAUUUAUCUGCAGCUAAGAAUGAAGCCAUAAGAGUAGAGUCAAGUAUGGCCAAAGCCCUUACGGCAAAAAAUUAUGAAAUUGAAGCACUUCUCAAGUCAGUAGAUUCCCUGAAGACACAACUGGCUUUAUCUGAAGGAAAUCUGGCUUCACAGUAGGUUCAAGACAUCUUUAGCAAUUACAUACACAUGAAUUUUGCACAAUGUGAAAUGAUCGGCUUGCAAUCUCUCAUUUUUUUGCAAAAUUUUAGCAAUCAUCAGUAAAGUUUAAUAUGUGGUGAAGGAGUAUUAUGGGUCUGCUGUGGUCAUUCUUUUUUUGCUGAAAUGUUGUUUGGAGUGCAACAUAGCUUUAUAUUUUUCUUUGCUGCUCCACAGUGUGGCUGCGAUUAUUUGCAUUAUGCGCCUUGUGUUGAUUAUGGUCCGUCAGUUUGAAUCUUAAUCUUGGUUCACUGAUGCAUCAAGUCUUUUAUACACUGGAGCAUGGCUGACUAAGCAACUGCACCAAUUAUCUUUCAGUCAUUCUCCUCUCUAAGAGGUAGGGAUUUUUUGAAUUCAA